CCUACGGGAGGCAGCAGUGGGGAAUUUUGGACAAUGGGCGAAAGCCUGAUCCAGCCAUGCCGCGUGCAGGAUGAAGGCCUUCGGGUUGUAAACUGCUUUUGUACGGAACGAAAAGCCUCUUUCUAAUAAAGAGGGGUCAUGACGGUACCGUAAGAAUAAGCACCGGCUAACUACGUGCCAGCAGCCGCGGUAAUACGUAGGGUGCGAGCGUUAAUCGGAAUUACUGGGCGUAAAGCGUGCGCAGGCGGUUAUAUAAGACAGUUGUGAAAUCCCCGGGCUCAACCUGGGAACUGCAUCUGUGACUGUAUAGCUAGAGUACGGUAGAGGGGGAUGGAAUUCCGCGUGUAGCAGUGAAAUGCGUAGAUAUGCGGAGGAACACCGAUGGCGAAGGCAAUCCCCUGGACCUGUACUGACGCUCAUGCACGAAAGCGUGGGGAGCAAACAGGAUUAGAUACCCUGGUAGUCCACGCCCUAAACGAUGUCAACUGGUUGUUGGGAAUUCACUUUCUCAGUAACGAAGCUAACGCGUGAAGUUGACCGCCUGGGGAGUACGGCCGCAAGGUUGAAACUCAAAUGAAUUGACGGCUGNGAGNGCGAGACGACGACGAGGAGAGG
This 615-nucleotide ribosomal RNA is filed under the name uncultured bacterium. RNAcentral's name for it is "bacterial SSU rRNA". It matches the Rfam family "Bacterial small subunit ribosomal RNA", at positions 338 to 946 of the family's 1533-position model. The record is from RNAcentral.